Molecule: ribosomal RNA, 227 nt
Filed under: uncultured bacterium
Lineage: Bacteria
Description: partial 16S ribosomal RNA
Rfam family: Bacterial small subunit ribosomal RNA
Source: RNAcentral
CAAAAAGACCGUCCCAGUUCGGAUUGCAGGCUGCAACCCGCCCUGCAUGAAGCUGGAAUCGCUAGUAAUCGCAGGUCAGCAUACUGCGGUGAAUACGUUCCCGGGUCUUGUACACACCGCCCGUCACACCAUGGGAGCCGGAAAUGCCCGAAGCCAGUGACCCAACCUUAGGGAGGGAGCUGUCGAAGGUGGAGCCGGUAACUGGGGUGAAGUCGUAACAAGGUAAC